RNAcentral lists this ribosomal RNA (487 nucleotides) under uncultured bacterium. RNAcentral's name for it is "bacterial SSU rRNA". It matches the Rfam family "Bacterial small subunit ribosomal RNA", at positions 10 to 507 of the family's 1533-position model. The record is from RNAcentral.
AGUUUGAUCAUGGCUCAGAAUCAACGCUGGCGGCGUGCCUCAGACAUGCAAGUCGAAACGAUUAAAGCUCUCUUCGGAGAGUGUAUAGAGUGGCGCACGGGUGAGUAACACGUAAGUAAUCUACCCUCGGAAGUGGGGAAUAACAACCGGAAACGGUUGCUAAUACCGCAUAAUGCAGCGGCACCGCAAGGUGACAGUUGUUAAAGAUUUAUCGCUUGAGGAGGAGCUUGCGGCAGAUUAGCUAGUUGGUAGGGUAACGGCUUACCAAGGCUACGAUCUGUAACCGGUCUAAGAGGACGGUCGGUCACACUGACACUGAAUAACGGGUCAGACUCCUACGGGAGGCAGCAGUCGGGAAUUUUGGGCAAUGGGCGAAAGCCUGACCCAGCAACGCCGCGUGAAGGAUGAAGUAUUUCGGUAUGUAAACUUCGAAAGAAUAAGGAAGAAUUAAUGACGGUACUAUUUAUAAGGUCCGGCUAACUACGUG